RNAcentral lists this long non-coding RNA (640 nucleotides) under Homo sapiens (human). RNAcentral's name for it is "long non-coding RNA NONHSAT206793.1". The record is from RNAcentral. Lineage: Eukaryota; Metazoa; Chordata; Mammalia; Primates; Hominidae.
CACUGCGCAGGCACAACAGAGCCGCUCCCCUCUCCUCGCCCCGCCACCGGGACGGAGAGCGCCCGCCGCUGCAUUUCCGGCGACACCUCGCAGUCAUUCCUGCGGCUUGCGCGCCCUUGUAGACAGCCGGGGCCUUCGUGAGACCGGUGCGAGCCUGGGGUAGUCUCCUGUCUGGACAGAGAAGAGAAAAAUGCAGGACACUGGCUCAGUAGUGCCUUUGCAUUGGUUUGGCUUUGGCUACGCAGCACUGGUUGCUUCUGGUGGGAUCAUUGGCUAUGUAAAAGCAGGCAGCGUGCCGUCCCUGGCUGCAGGGCUGCUCUUUGGCAGUCUAGCCGGCCUGGGUGCUUACCAGCUGUCUCAGGAUCCAAGGAACGUUUGGGUUUUCCUAGCUACAUCUGGUACCUUGGCUGGCAUUAUGGGAAUGAGGUUCUACCACUCUGGAAAAUUCAUGCCUGCAGGUUUAAUUGCAGGUGCCAGUUUGCUGAUGGUCGCCAAAGUUGGAGUUAGUAUGUUCAACAGACCCCAUUAGCAGAAGUCAUGUUCCAGCUUAGACUGAUGAAGAAUUAAAAAUCUGCAUCUUCCACUAUUUUCAAUAUAUUAAGAGAAAUAAGUGCAGCAUUUUUGCAUCUGACAUUUUACC